AACAGAAUAUAAGUUUGAAAAAUAUGCUACGGAGCAGCAGUUCUUACUCAGCUACUGAUCCGCCUGUUGAACAUGAUGAAGCUAAUCCUCUCACUGUGUCUUCUUUGGCCUGUCUCCAGCGCUGCUGGAGCCCUUUGGUGUGAGUCCUGCACUGAUGAUCUGUAUUGCAAAGAUUCAGUCCAGCGCAAAUGCCCCAAGGACUCAAUGUGCUUCACAGCCUCCAUUCUAAUUAUCUCAUCUGGACAUGUGAUACAUAGACUUUACAAGGACUGUGCACCACCAAGAGUGUGUCCUAACACGGGCCCUCAUAUCAUUUCAACUAACCUGGGUGGAAAACAGGCAGUUGCAUCAGUAAUGUGCUGUGACACUAAUGAAUGCAACUCAUACUACCUGCCUUUCCCUACUGUUCCACUAAAAAAUGGUCUGAAGUGUCCUGGUUGUGACAGCAGCCACCAUGUGUGCACGUCUGUCGUGCAUUGCAGUGGAGUGGAGAAUACCUGCUUUAAAGCAACAGUGGAGGAUGGACCACUGACAGUUGGUGGAUGUGGGUCCCCAAAUGUUUGCAACGUAACCGGGAGCCUGGAUUACCUGCCGUUCUUAGAACAUGUGGGUGCGGUCCCUGACAGACCAAAGUGUUGGCGUGCCACUAACAGUGUUGAACAUGACACAUGUGACGACCAUUCUCCAUGUGAUCAUGAUGAUGAUGACUGCUGCUGCAACGACUGCUGCUCCAACGACUGUGACUGCGACGAAGACAACAGCAAACCCGGCUACAGCAAAAAAAUGGCUGGAUAACUACUGCAACAACUCCUUAAUACCUGAUCACAGUUGAUUCCCUUGAUUUUUGUACAAUUUGACAAUAAUUUCUGUUAGCCAAUUACAUUUCUGUUUUUCUUUUUCUGUUUUUCUAAGCAUUUCUGUAUGUGGAAACAAGGUACCGCUAAAUGAAAUGUUGUAGCUUGUACUAUUUUCAACUGCUUAACAAUUUAUUUAAUAAAUAAAUAACACAUGCAUGAUCUAGCA
Molecule: long non-coding RNA, 1023 nt
Filed under: Gouania willdenowi (blunt-snouted clingfish)
Lineage: Eukaryota; Metazoa; Chordata; Actinopteri; Blenniiformes; Gobiesocidae
Description: lncRNA (ENSGWIG00000005508.1)
Source: RNAcentral